This 568-nucleotide ribosomal RNA is filed under the name Phomopsis sp. OU-E 208. Its description in RNAcentral is "eukaryotic LSU rRNA". The stretch from base 183 to 336 matches the Rfam family "5.8S ribosomal RNA". The record is from RNAcentral. Lineage: Eukaryota; Fungi; Ascomycota; Sordariomycetes; Diaporthales; Diaporthaceae.
GGGGAAUGUCUGGACCGCCUCGGCGCACCCAGAAACCCUUUGUGAACUUAUACCUUUCUGUUGCCUCGGCGCAGGCCGGCCUCUUAGCUGAGGCCCCCCGGAGACGGGGAGCAGCCCGCCGGCGGCCAACCAAACUCUUGUUUCUACAGUGGAUCUCUGAGUAAAAAACAUAAAUGAAUCAAAACUUUCAACAACGGAUCUCUUGGUUCUGGCAUCGAUGAAGAACGCAGCGAAAUGCGAUAAGUAAUGUGAAUUGCAGAAUUCAGUGAAUCAUCGAAUCUUUGAACGCACAUUGCGCCCUCUGGUAUUCCGGAGGGCAUGCCUGUUCGAGCGUCAUUUCAACCCUCAAGCCUGGCUUGGUGUUGGGGCACUGCUCCGAGAGGAGCAGGCCCUGAAAUCUAGUGGCGAGCUCGCUAGGACCCCGAGCGUAGUAGUUAUAUCUCGUUCUGGAAGGCCCUGGCGGUGCCCUGCCGUUAAACCCCCAACUUCUGAAAUUUUGACCUCGGAUCAGGUAGGAAUACCCGCUGAACUUAAGCAUAUCAAUAAGGCGGGAGGAAAGUCAAUUGUU